Molecule: ribosomal RNA, 751 nt
Filed under: uncultured Actinomyces sp.
Lineage: Bacteria; Bacillati; Actinomycetota; Actinomycetes; Actinomycetales; Actinomycetaceae
Description: bacterial SSU rRNA
Rfam family: Bacterial small subunit ribosomal RNA
Source: RNAcentral
GACGAACGCUGGCGGCGUGCUUAACACAUGCAAGUCGAACGCUGAUGGCCCAGCUUGCUGGGUGGAUGAGUGACGAACGGGUGAGUAACACGUGAGUAACCUGCCCUCUUCUUUGGGAUAACGGUCGGAAACGGCUGCUAAUACCGGGUAUUCACUGUCCUUCGCAUGGGGGGUGGUGGAAAGGUUUUUUCUGGUGGGGGAUGGGCUCGCGGCCUAUCAGCUUGUUGGUGGGGUGAUGGCUUACCAAGGCUUUGACGGGUAACCGGCCUGAGAGGGUGACCGGUCACAUUGGGACUGAGAUACGGCCCAGACUCCUACGGGAGGCAGCAGUGGGGAAUAUUGCACAAUGGGCGAAAGCCUGAUGCAGCGACGCCGCAUGAGGGAUGGAGGCCUUCGGGUUGUAAACCUCUUUCGCUCAUGGUCAAGCCGCAACAGUGGUUGUGGUGAGGGUAGUGGGUAAAGAAGCACCGGCUAACUACGUGCCAGCAGCCGCGGUAAUACGUAGGGUGCGAGCGUUGUCCGGAAUUAUUGGGCGUAAAGGGCUUGUAGGCGGUUUGUCGCGUCUGCCGUGAAAUCCUCUGGCUUAACUGGGGGCGUGCGGUGGGUACGGGCAGGCUUGAGUGCGGUAGGGGAGACUGGAACUCCUGGUGUAGCGGUGGAAUGCGCAGAUAUCAGGAAGAACACCGGUGGCGAAGGCGGGUCUCUGGGCCGUUACUGACGCUGAGGAGCGAAAGCGUGGGGAGCGAACAGG